UACGUAGGGGGGCAAGCGUUUGUCCGGAAUCAUUGGGCGUAAAGAGCGUGUAGGCGGCCCGGUAAGUCCGCUGUGAAAGUCCAGGCUCAACCCUGGGAUGCCGGUGGAUACUGUCGGGCUCGAGUCCGGAAGAGGAGUGUGGAAUUCCUGGUGUAGCGGUGAAAUGCGCAGAUAUCAGGAGGAACACCAAUGGCGAAGGCAGCACUCUGGGACGUGACUGACGCUGAGACGCGAAAGCGUGGGGAGCAAACAGG
This 254-nucleotide ribosomal RNA is filed under the name uncultured bacterium. RNAcentral's name for it is "partial 16S ribosomal RNA". It matches the Rfam family "Bacterial small subunit ribosomal RNA", at positions 524 to 776 of the family's 1533-position model. The record is from RNAcentral.